GCUGCGAAGAUGUAGUUUCAGAGAUUGCACCCCCAAUUGCAUCACCUCUUCUUGGCCAUGGUGCUAAUUUAUAUGCUUUACUUGGUGUCACUCUUGAUG
Molecule: non-coding RNA, 99 nt
Filed under: Karenia brevis
Lineage: Eukaryota; Dinophyceae; Gymnodiniales; Kareniaceae
Source: RNAcentral